UGGGGAAUAUUGGACAAUGGGCGAAAGCCUGAUCCAGCCAUGCCGCGUGUGUGAAGAAGGUCUUCGGAUUGUAAAGCACUUUAAGUUGGGAGGAAGGGCAGUAAGCGAAUACCUUGCUGUUUUGACGUUACCGACAGAAUAAGCACCGGCUAACUCUGUGCCAGCAGCCGCGGUAAUACAGAGGGUGCAAGCGUUAAUCGGAAUUACUGGGCGUAAAGCGCGCGUAGGUGGUUCGUUAAGUUGAAUGUGAAAGCCCCGGGCUCAACCUGUGAACUGCAUCCAAAACUGGCGAGCUAGAGUAGGGCAGAGGGUGGUGGAAUUUCCUGUGUAGCGGUGAAAUGCGUAGGUAUAGGAAGGAACACCAGUGGCGAAGGCGACCACCUGGGCGCAUACUGACACUGAGGUGCGAGAGCGUGGGGAGCAAACAGG
Molecule: ribosomal RNA, 429 nt
Filed under: Pseudomonadota bacterium
Lineage: Bacteria; Pseudomonadati; Pseudomonadota
Description: Proteobacteria bacterium partial 16S ribosomal RNA
Rfam family: Bacterial small subunit ribosomal RNA
Source: RNAcentral